GUUGGCAUUUUAAUUAUGUUUUAGCUUUAAACUUGUCCAAAAUUGCUUAAAAGGUGACAAAUAUAUUUAUCUACAAAUCGACAAAUUAAUUUUCACACAACUGGUAAGUUUUAUCUAAAUACACAAUAACCGACCCUCGUAUAUAAUUUCAAACCACCCUCGUAUACAAAGAUUUAGUGUUGGCGCACUUGAUUUCCACUAAAUACGUCACUAAAGUCACCAGAUUAUUGAUUUUCUUGAACUACAAAUACGGGGGCAGUUUUAAAAAUGUUUGAAAUCUUAACUUUGUGGUGUACAAGUGGCUUGCAGGACAAUUUUUCUAGUCUCAACACUCAGUGUGUCCACGUGUUAGAGGGCUGUUUGAAAAAUAAAUAAUUUUCGAUUUUUAAAAUGGAUUAAAAUUAAUGGCGGGGACAAUAAUUUUUGGGGCGCCCUCAUAUAAAAUGUUUUAAAGUUGGCAGACUUUGUUUCCACUAAAACGUCACAAACGUCACAUACGUCCCGAUUAUCGAUUUUCCAAUACGGGGGCGUUCUAAAAGUUAUUAAAAUUCUGGCUUUGGGCUGAAUAAGUGGUUUACAGGACAUUUUUAUAUUCUCAACACCUUUGUUACACGCAGUGUGUGCACGCUGUUUGAAAAAAAUGUAAUUUUCUAUUUUUAAAGUGGCUUAAAUUUAGUGGCGGGCGCUGAAAUUUUUGAGGCGCCCUCGUAUACGGUGCAAAUUUGUCCGAACACGUGUACUUUUUUUGACAGGUACGUCAACUGUUGCGUGAGAGCGGCAGUUUUCGGGCGGCGGCCGGAGCGGUCGGACGUGUGUCUGUGCGUGCGUCUUGUUCGUUAAAUUAUUAAAUAAAUUAUUAAACCGCGACCGCGACACGAAUUAAUUAAAGUGAUUCUGUGCUGUGCUGUGUUGUGCUGCGAAAUUUUAAGGAUAUUUUGUACAAGGGACGAUUUAACCGCAAACAUUUUUAUCACAUGUUGCUUCCACCUUCAAGGGUCGCCCAACACGAAUGCAAAGAUUGUAUUAAACAGUCGUCAAAUGUGCUAACCAUUGCAAUUUCCACUUGGAGUUAUGAAUUUUGAGACCUCAAGAGCUGGUGUCUGUGUUGGAUUGCUUUACUGACUGGUUGCAGCGGGCCUGCAGGAUUCGGAGGAUUUCAAAGGCAUUCUUCAUCAGGUUCUUCAGAAAUUAUUUUUUAACUGACAAUAAUUAUCAUUAAACGUUGUUAUAUUUCUGUGAUUUAUUAUGUUUUUUUAAUAAACGCUAAAGAAAUGUGUCUUUUAUUGGGGGGCAAAUAAAAGUUCAAUAAAUUA
Tribolium castaneum (red flour beetle) is the source of this 1313-nucleotide long non-coding RNA. RefSeq lists it as uncharacterized. The transcript is spliced from 4 exons. NCBI's taxonomy places the organism in Eukaryota, Metazoa, Arthropoda, Insecta, Coleoptera, Tenebrionidae. The record is from RefSeq and is a predicted model, not a curated record.